CCUCAUCGGAGAGUACGUUAUGAGAUGUGAUUCUUUGAUUUUGAAGCAGUUGAAGAUGCUGUAGUAACUUAUUCAAUUCAACAAGUUCCCCUUGAAUAGGUACAGAAGUCCAUGAGUCUUCUUCUAAUAGACUCAAAUUGUUUUGAAUGAUGUCAAUAUCGAUUGACUUCUCGACAGGUGCCUCUUUGUAAUGACUAGAUGCCCGAUAACAAGCAACAGAAUGAAAUGAAGAAUCAGGAAUAACAGAAGAAGAUGAAUUUUUGUAAGGAGCAAUUGAGGAGAAGGGGCCAGACUGUAGGUACUUCACAGUAGGAAGUUUAGCCAAUGAAGGAUUAAAUUCUAUAACUGAUGCAGGAGGUUUGGCGGUUGAGGGGGGGGAUAACUUAUCCAAGGUGUACUCUUGGGAAUUAGCAACGGAUGGAGUUGGCAAAAGGGCAACUGGCUUUGCAAUUAUUCCUCCAUCUGGUAAUCGACUGUCUAAUCGGGAAGUUCGAGCAGUAGAACUGAACAAAGGACCAGCAGAACCGACCAUAAACAAAGCGUGUGACCUGAAUUGUGGUU
This is a non-coding RNA of Schizosaccharomyces pombe (fission yeast), 561 nucleotides long. The record is from the annotation of a GenBank genome assembly. NCBI's taxonomy places the organism in Eukaryota, Fungi, Ascomycota, Schizosaccharomycetes, Schizosaccharomycetales, Schizosaccharomycetaceae.